RNAcentral lists this ribosomal RNA (592 nucleotides) under Myriangiaceae sp. ZLY-2010. RNAcentral describes it as "eukaryotic LSU rRNA". The stretch from base 207 to 360 matches the Rfam family "5.8S ribosomal RNA". The record is from RNAcentral. Lineage: Eukaryota; Fungi; Ascomycota; Dothideomycetes; Myriangiales; Myriangiaceae.
GAACCUGCGGAAGGAUCAUUAAAGAGUCGGGGUCCAUCAGGGCCCAAACUCCCACCCUUUGUUGUCGCGAAUUUGUUGCCUCGGCGGGUUGCUGGGUUGCUCCAUCCGUGGGGUAUUACCGGCGACGGGCUUCGGCCCACCCGCCGCAGGACAUUUCAAACACUGCUUUAAACAAUGAAGUCUGAGUUAUUUGAUAAAUAAAUCAAAACUUUCAACAACGGAUCUCUUGGUUCUGGCAUCGAUGAAGAACGCAGCGAAAUGCGAUAAGUAAUGUGAAUUGCAGAAUUCAGUGAAUCAUCGAAUCUUUGAACGCACAUUGCGCCCCUUGGUAUUCCGAGGGGCAUGCCUGUUCGAGCGUCAUUUCACCAAUCAAGCAACGCUUGGUAUUGGGCGUCCGGUCCACCUCCUCGGAGGCGGACCCGCCAGAAAUGCAUCGGCGUGGAAACCGACCCCCGGCGUGUUAAGAAUCUCACAAUUCGAACGUCGGGAGCACCGGUGGCCUCCGCCGCAACCUCUUUAAUUUUUUAAAGGUUGACCUCGGAUCAGGUAGGAAUACCCGCUGAACUUAAGCAUAUCAAUAAGCCGGAGGAAA